This 372-nucleotide ribosomal RNA is filed under the name uncultured bacterium. RNAcentral's name for it is "bacterial SSU rRNA". It matches the Rfam family "Bacterial small subunit ribosomal RNA", at positions 527 to 896 of the family's 1533-position model. The record is from RNAcentral.
GUAGGGUGCGAGCGUUAUCCGGAAUUAUUGGGCGUAAAGAGCUCGUAGGCGGUUUGUCGCGUCUGUCGUGAAAGUCCGGGGCUUAACCCCGGAUCUGCGGUGGGUACGGGCAGACUAGAGUGCAGUAGGGGAGACUGGAAUUCCUGGUGUAGCGGUGGAAUGCGCAGAUAUCAGGAGGAACACCGAUGGCGAAGGCAGGUCUCUGGGCUGUAACUGACGCUGAGGAGCGAAAGCAUGGGGAGCGAACAGGAUUAGAUACCCUGGUAGUCCAUGCCGUAAACGUUGGGCACUAGGUGUGGGGACCAUUCCACGGUUUCCGCGCCGCAGGUAACGCAUUAAGUGCCCCGCCUGGGGAGUACGGCCGCAAGGCUA